AGUCAUAUGCUUGUCUCAAAGGUUAAGCCAUGCAUGUCUUAGUAUAAAUCCUCAGAGGUGAAACUGCGAACGGCUCAUUAAAACAGUCAUAUUUCAUUUGAUGGUGAAUGUGUAUAUGGAUAACUGUGGUAAUUCUACAGCUAAUACAUGUAUCCGUGACCGACUUUCAGGAAGGGCUGCUCUUACCAGUCACUAAGCCAACCCAGACUUCGUCUGGACUGUGGGUGAGUCUCGGUAAUAAUUCAAAUCUCAUAGCAUCCGCUAGUGGUGCGUCAUACAAGUGUCUGACCUAUCAGCUGUCGACGGUAGGGUAUUGGCCUACCGUGGCUAUGACGGGUAACAGAGAAUUAGGGUUUGAUUCUGGAGAGGGAGCCUGAUAAACGGCUACCACAUCUAAGGAAGGCAGCAGGCGCGAAAAUUACCCAAUCCUGACAUAGGGAGGUAGUAACAAGAAAUAACAAUACAGGGCAAUCAUGUCUUGUAGUUGGAAUGAGUAGAUUACAAAUCGCUGUAUGAGAAUCAAU
Molecule: ribosomal RNA, 524 nt
Filed under: uncultured eukaryote
Lineage: Eukaryota
Description: SSU rRNA
Rfam family: Eukaryotic small subunit ribosomal RNA
Source: RNAcentral